This 462-nucleotide ribosomal RNA is filed under the name uncultured bacterium. RNAcentral describes it as "partial 16S ribosomal RNA". It matches the Rfam family "Bacterial small subunit ribosomal RNA", at positions 29 to 507 of the family's 1533-position model. The record is from RNAcentral.
AACAAACGCUGGCGGCGUGCCUAAUACAUGCAAGUCGAACGGGGAAAGCUUUCGGGUGAGUACUAGUGGCGCACGGGGGAGGAACGCGUGGAUAAUCUGCCUUGGAGUGGGGGAUAAAUAGUCGAAAGAUUAGCUAAUACCGCAUAAGACCACGAGAGCUGCGGCCUUUGAGGUCAAAGGUUUUUCGCUCUAAGAUGAGUCCGCGUAAGAUUAGCUAGUUGGUGAGGUAACGGCUCACCAAGGCGACGAUCUUUAACUGGUCUGAGAGGAUGAUCAGUCACACUGGAACUGAGACACGGUCCAGACUCCUACGGGAGGCAGCAGUAGGGAAUAUUGCACAAUGGAGGAAACUCUGAUGCAGCGACGCCGCGUGAGUGAUGAAGGCCUUCGGGUCGUAAAGCUCUGUCGCAGGGGAAUAACACAAUGAAGGUACCCUGUAAGAAAGGAUCGGCUAACUUCGUG